This 370-nucleotide ribosomal RNA is filed under the name uncultured bacterium. RNAcentral's name for it is "bacterial SSU rRNA". It matches the Rfam family "Bacterial small subunit ribosomal RNA", at positions 527 to 896 of the family's 1533-position model. The record is from RNAcentral.
GGAGGGUGCAAGCGUUAAUCGGAAUUACUGGGCGUAAAGCGCACGCAGGCGGUUGGAUAAGUUAGAUGUGAAAGCCCCGGGCUCAACCUGGGAAUUGCAUUUAAAACUGUCCAGCUAGAGUCUUGUAGAGGGGGGUAGAAUUCCAGGUGUAGCGGUAAAAUGCGUAGAGAUCUGGAGGAAUACCGGUGGCGAAGGCGGCCCCCUGGACAAAGACUGACGCUCAGGUGCGAAAGCGUGGGGAGCAAACAGGAUUAGAUACCCUGGUAGUCCACGCCGUAAACGAUGUCGAUUUGGAGGCUGUGUCCUUGAGACGUGGCUUCCGGAGCUAACGCGUUAAAUCGACCGCCUGGGGAGUACGGCCGCAAGGUUA